Molecule: ribosomal RNA, 242 nt
Filed under: uncultured bacterium
Lineage: Bacteria
Description: partial 16S ribosomal RNA
Rfam family: Bacterial small subunit ribosomal RNA
Source: RNAcentral
GACAGAGGGUGCAAACGUUGUUCGGAUUUACUGGGCGUAAAGCGCGUGUAGGCGGCUUUGCAAGUCGGAUGUGAAAUCCCACGGCUCAACCGUGGAAGUGCAUCCGAAACGGCAUGGCUGGAGUCCCGGAGAGGAAGGUGGAAUGCUUGGUGUAGAGGUGAAAUUCGUAGAUAUCAAGCAGAGCACCUGCGGCGAAGGCGGCCUUCUGGACGGUGACUGACGCUGAGACGCGAAAGCGUGGG